UGGAGUGGCUGGAAGACGCUUCUGCGGGCGGCCUGGAGACCUGACUCCAUUUCCGGGGUGUGGCCCCGUUCGGGGUGCUCAGAAGUCAGAGUAUCGUUGGGAGCCAGCUACCUUGCAUGAGGAUACUCAAGCAUUCCUAUGGAGAGACCCACAUGGUGAGAAGAAACAUUAGAAGCACCUGAAGGACCAGGAAGUGAGUGC
Molecule: non-coding RNA, 201 nt
Organism: Saimiri boliviensis boliviensis (Bolivian squirrel monkey)
Lineage: Eukaryota; Metazoa; Chordata; Mammalia; Primates; Cebidae
Source: RefSeq, a predicted model, not a curated record